Molecule: ribosomal RNA, 935 nt
Filed under: uncultured bacterium
Lineage: Bacteria
Description: bacterial SSU rRNA
Rfam family: Bacterial small subunit ribosomal RNA
Source: RNAcentral
CAUGCAAGUCGAACGAGAGAUGAAGAGCUUGCUCUUCAAAUCGAGUGGCGAACGGGUGAGUAACGCGUGAGGAACCUGCCUCAAAGAGGGGGACAACAGUUGGAAACGACUGCUAAUACCGCAUAAGCCCACGGCUCGGCAUCGAGCAGAGGGAAAAGGAGCAAUCCGCUUUGAGAUGGCCUCGCGUCCGAUUAGCUAGUUGGUGAGGUAACGGCCCACCAAGGCGACGAUCGGUAGCCGGACUGAGAGGUUGAACGGCCACAUUGGGACUGAGACACGGCCCAGACUCCUACGGGAGGCAGCAGUGGGGAAUAUUGCACAAUGGGGGAAACCCUGAUGCAGCGACGCCGCGUGGAGGAAGAAGGUCUUCGGAUUGUAAACUCCUGUUGUUGAGGAAGAUAAUGACGGUACUCAACAAGGAAGUGACGGCUAACUACGUGCCAGCAGCCGCGGUAAAACGUAGGUCACAAGCGUUGUCCGGAAUUACUGGGUGUAAAGGGAGCGCAGGCGGGAGAACAAGUUGGAAGUGAAAUCCAUGGGCUCAACCCAUGAACUGCUUUCAAAACUGUUUUUCUUGAGUAGUGCAGAGGUAGGCGGAAUUCCCGGUGUAGCGGUGGAAUGCGUAGAUAUCGGGAGGAACACCAGUGGCGAAGGCGGCCUACUGGGCACCAACUGACGCUGAGGCUCGAAAGUGUGGGUAGCAAACAGGAUUAGAUACCCUGGUAGUCCACACCGUAAACGAUGAUUACUAGGUGUUGGAGGAUUGACCCCUUCAGUGCCGCAGUUAACACAAUAAGUAAUCCACCUGGGGAGUACGACCGCAAGGUUGAAACUCAAAGGAAUUGACGGGGGCCCGCACAAGCAGUGGAGUAUGUGGUUUAAUUCGACGCAACGCGAAGAACCUUACCAAGCCUUGACAUCCCUUGACGAUGCUG